CAGUAAGAAUUUCUGUCUUGCUACAGCUGUUUUCAUUGCAACAAUGUCUCGUAAUAAUAUAUAGGCAAGUUUUCAUAAAACUUUGACACCAUGUAUUAAAACAUGCUAACUUGAAUUGAAUUAAAGAACUGUGACCUUCCAUGUCAACUAUCACGCAUAGAAAUCGAGAGCGAAUAAUCUAAAACUCGAUAGAAACACAGUACAUGUUUUCUAUUUCCUAAGUAUCAGUCACCUAUAGUGUAAGUGUAAAUUGGCACAAAUCAUGAAGUAGUUCUGUUCACACGCAUGAACCAGGCCCUCCUGUUGGAGAAUGAAAUUUUGUCUCUUUUUCUUUUCUCUCUUUCCAUAGCUCAACGAAACUUCAGCAUCGGCAGGCGGGUUCAUAGACGAGUCUGCAGAUUUGCAAACAAUCGACACAGAGAUUUUUAGUAGACUGCAUGAGGUCCUACAACCAAUCAGUCCAGUCAUCCAGAAUGUUCCAUCACAGCAUCCUGCUUCCAGCAGCCCUGGUCCAGCGGGUCCCGUGACAGAUGAACUCAUCAGAAGCUGCGUGACACCAAGGAAAGUGCCUAAAGUCCGUCAGACUCUAGAGGGUGAAAAACAACACCACAGAUGCGCCAUUGAGCUGCUGCCCUACUUCUUUUCAAAAGAGGAGCUCGCAGUAGGCAACACUGAUGGAAACUUCAACAAAGACGCACCUGACCGGACUAAACUUCACUCACUGAUAGUUUUGAUUUUCACGAAGUUUCCCGUUGGAGCGAACGAGGAUGAACUCAAAUACUGGCGAGCUGUUAAAGGAGAGAUAAAUGCGAAAUGUAGAGCCUUUAGAUUUGCACAGUCAAGCCGUGUCAAGGUGGAAAAUUCGCGUUUAAUCUCACUUGUAAAUAGUAACUUUUCAAUAAAUUUGGAGUGUUGCUAAGCUACUUGUAAACCAUAACAAUAAAGUAUUAUAUGCAUCAUAUCUGUCUCAUUUGUGAUCACAUCGUUGUCGACAAGGCUACUCCUUUUGUUUACAUCCAACCGAAACCGGAUCGCCUUAAAAACACUGACAAAAGUCCCGUGACCUGAGAAACUGCAUCAAUUUGGCACGAAAGUAAUUGCCAGGCUCACAGAGACUAAACAUGGUGAACUCCACACACCUUGUGGUGUUUACUUUUACAAACUUAACAUAUUUGAAAACAUUUGGAACGCGGUUUGAUAAGUUCCGCACAAAACACUUCGUAGACCGAGUAGUUUUGAGCUAGAAAAGUCUCCUCUCUCCUUCCUCUCUCCACUAUUCUGGUCCUGAAGGAUUUACAUAGCGGGGCCCUGGGAUCAAACAAUUGGUUGCUAUGACAAUACUAUAAUCGGGGUGUCCUGGGCACAAUGUUGAUUCACGACUUGCAGAAGGGUUCGCGGGUUUUCGACUUGUACGCAGAAAGAUUUCACAGUUUAACAAUAUUACGGACACAAAAGUGAAGAAAGAGACCUCUACAAAAAGUCGCUCGCAAUGCUGAUGCUUAGUUUGGUUUAAGGAGUGGGAAAUAUGCGACAGUUAUCGUUAUUUUACAGCAGCGAAUUUCGAUUAUCAGCACAACCUGUCCAUCCUUUGUAGAUCAAGAACACUGUUUACCUUUAUAAACGGACUGAGUGCAGCGAGGUCCGUACUGUUCUCAGGCCGAUAGUUAGUCAAGAACUGGCAAGUUCCAGCAAUCAAGAGCAAGAAUGGUGGGAUAAUAAAAGACAAGGACACUUGCCUUGAAAGAUGUACUGAACACACUGAGGAGAUACCAGUCAGAGAAGCUCUGAUGAACCCAACUGAAAAACACGAAGUGGACACAGAUGACAUUGGCAAGAUGGACGCGAAUGAGAUAAGAGAUGCAGAGGUGAGGCAACACAAGCAAAAAAAGUACCAGGAAUUGAUAAGAUCCCAGUAGAGUUGAACAAAACAGACAGCAACAUCAUGCAGUAAAAGAACUGACAAGAUUGUUCAACAAGACAUGGCAGGCAGAGAAGGUACUUGAAAAAAUGGAAGAAAGGCCUGAUAUCCAAGCUUCCUAAAACUGAGAUCUUAUCAAGAGUGUUAAAACUAGCAUGGACACAGUGUUACAGUACCUGUAGACAGCAAAGUAAUGGGGAGGGUAAUCAAUACACCGUGAAGAACUGUGGAGAAUCAUGAACGCCUGUGGCAUCCUUGACAAGGUGAUAAGCAUGGUGAAGUUCAUGUGUGUUAAAUGUUCAGUACUUACUAGAUGAGGGAGAGCUGGCAAGAUGGUUCAAGGUCAUCAUGGGUGUUAAAGAAGGUUACAUCAAGUCAGGGUUCCUGUUCUUGCUCACAGUGGACUAGAUGACAUAAGGACAACAGAAGGGCAGGGAAAGAGCAUCAGAAGCAACUUCAAAGGUGUAUUCUUGAUUUUGCUGACAAUAUACAUAUAGUCCUUGUUUCAUCAAAGUAUGAGCACAUUCAGAACAAGAGUGACCAACUGGUAGACAUUGCAGGAAGAUUGGGACUGAAGCUGAAUGCAAGGAAAGUGAUGAGAAUGAAUGCACAAAGAUAAAGAGAAAGUUAAGACUGGACAUGAGGAAGUGGAAGAUGUAGAUGAAGGGUUUUUAAACCUGAUGAUGAAGAUCUCACAAAAAAAUGGUCGGAGCACGAAAGACACUGGUGUGCUCAGCAUCCAUACUAUAGUAUGGAUGUGAAGCCUGGAAAAUAACAACUUACAACAGUAGAGAAGAGGCUGGAUAGAUUCCAAAUGAUACAUGUGCCUGAGAAAGAUCCUAAGAAUAUGGUGAACACAACACGUUAGAAACAAGACAAUAUCUGAAAGAAUAUAGGCAUGAAUAAGAUCAGUGAUGAGAUCAAAAGGAGAAAAUGGACAUGUGCUCCGAAUGGAGAGGAAUAAUGACUGCAUGGUGGUGAUGGAGUGGCAGCCUGAUGGAAAGAGGCAAGUGGGAUAGCCAAAGAUCACAUGGAGAAGGACAAUGGAGAAGGAGCCCAGAUAGGAUCAGGAGUGGGCCAGCUGGACAGAACCCAGGGGUGGGGCACAAGACAGGGCUGGUCGGAGAUUAUAACUAAUCUUGUCUUCUCAGUCCAUAUUAUAAGUUACGGAAUCGAUCCACAUUUUUUUUCCCUUAAAUCAUGGCCCGCAUGCUUCGUACUUGCAUGCUAAAUCAAAGGGGAGAAAAACUUGGUUUGUAACUUACAAUACAUGUACACAUGUACACGUACCUCAAACUCAGUUAGUAAGAGGUAAUACAUGUACAUUGAAUUUACACCUUAAAAAUGUUUAACAUGUACUGUACUUACCAGCUGAUGGACCAGAAUAUGAGACUUCCAGUAGGAAAAUUAUAAGUAGCUGAUGCAUCUCAACAUUUCCUAUAAAGAAUCAUCCAGAACAAACACCAAACCAGCAUUAAAACACGACAUCAUAAUAGCAAAACAAAUCAAAAUGGCAAUACUUGAAUUGUAACAGUGUUGUAUUUAAGGUUACUUUUAAAUUGCAAAACACAGUUUGUAAGCCAGCCUAAAUGAGUUCUACAUAAAUGUACACUGUAUAUAUGAUUGCUCAUGUCAUCAUGUGAAGCAUUUUCUAAAACUCGAGCCUCCCCAAGUUCCUCUUCUCAUUUGGAAUAGGCCGCGUUCAAUAUAUCAAUAUUCUAACAUGGCUCUGAGGCUUUAGGGUCAAAAUUGUAAUUCUUUUA
This 3681-nucleotide long non-coding RNA is filed under the name Orbicella faveolata. RNAcentral's name for it is "uncharacterized LOC110053460". The record is from RNAcentral. Lineage: Eukaryota; Metazoa; Cnidaria; Anthozoa; Scleractinia; Merulinidae.